This 738-nucleotide ribosomal RNA is filed under the name Candida tropicalis. Its description in RNAcentral is "LSU rRNA". It matches the Rfam family "Eukaryotic large subunit ribosomal RNA", at positions 1 to 729 of the family's 3401-position model. The record is from RNAcentral. Lineage: Eukaryota; Fungi; Ascomycota; Pichiomycetes; Serinales; Debaryomycetaceae.
GCUAGUGGCCACCACAAUUUAUUUCAUAACUUUGACCUCAAAUCAGGUAGGACUACCCGCUGAACUUAAGCAUAUCAAUAAGCGGAGGAAAAGAAACAACAGGAUUGCCUUAGUAGCGGCGAGUGAAGCGGCAAAAGCUCAAAUUUGAAAUCUGGCUCUUUCAGAGUCCGAGUUGUAAUUUGAAGAAGGUAUCUUUGGGUCUGGCUCUUGUCUAUGUUUCUUGGAACAGAACGUCACAGAGGGUGAGAAUCCCGUGCGAUGAGAUGAUCCAGGCCUAUGUAAAGUUCCUUCGAAGAGUCGAGUUGUUUGGGAAUGCAGCUCUAAGUGGGUGGUAAAUUCCAUCUAAAGCUAAAUAUUGGCGAGAGACCGAUAGCGAACAAGUACAGUGAUGGAAAGAUGAAAAGAACUUUGAAAAGAGAGUGAAAAAGUACGUGAAAUUGUUGAAAGGGAAGGGCUUGAGAUCAGACUUGGUAUUUUGUAUGUUACUUCUUCGGGGGUGGCCUCUACAGUUUAUCGGGCCAGCAUCAGUUUGGGCGGUAGGAGAAUUGCGUUGGAAUGUGGCACGGCUUCGGUUGUGUGUUAUAGCCUUCGUCGAUACUGCCAGCCUAGACUGAGGACUGCGGUUUAUACCUAGGAUGUUGGCAUAAUGAUCUUAAGGCCCGCUGGAACACGGACCAAGGAGUCUACCGUCUAUGCGAGUGUUUGGGGUGUAAAACCCGUACGCGUAAUGAAAGUGAA